Molecule: long non-coding RNA, 4976 nt
Organism: Corapipo altera (White-ruffed manakin)
Lineage: Eukaryota; Metazoa; Chordata; Aves; Passeriformes; Pipridae
Exons: 4
Source: RefSeq, a predicted model, not a curated record
AAAUGCUUGUACUGUAAGUGGAGCUCUAGGAAGUCUCUCUCUUUUAGGGAAAUCAAGUUUCUCUAAGCCAUAGAAGACUCUAAGACUAUUACUGAGUGACUACAGAAUCCAGUUAUUUCAACUGAAUUGCAGCUCUCAGGGUUUGACUUCAACUGUGACUGCAUGUUACAAAUCAUAUGGUAUGCACAAUGCAAGCAAAAAAAAAAAAUCAGUAACAGUGAGAUGGAAAAAACCUUAGAGAAGUAAAUUUCUAUGAACAAGUUGCCGUUAAUAGUGCUAUCCAAAUUAACUUUCUGAGUGCUGCCCUUUCCAGCUAUGAAAAAAAAAAAAGAAAAAAAAAAAAACAACAAAAACUAACAUUCCCAGAAAAAUGUCAGUAUAAACUCCCUUUAUUAACCUGGCUGUCACUUUGGCUCCCUGGGUCUCUUUGGCUCUAACCCACUAGAGAAUGGUUCCCACUGUAAUCAUCGGCAGUGAGGAAUUAAGCCUCAAUGAAUCAGGUGAGCUUCAACAGUGUUCUAGCAUUUCUGAAUUUAAAAGGUCACCAAAAUUGCUAAUGCUUAAUCUAGCCACAUCAGUAAGGAAAGAAAAAUGUUUUGAAGGAAAGCACUAAAUUAUUCAAAAAACCCCUGACAAGAAUAGCAAUAUUCAUAAAUGGAAAAUAUCUGUUAACUCAUUAUAUAAUUCUGUGGCUGAAAAUCUUUGAUAGAAAAUGUCCUUUUUUACUAAAUGUAGUCUGUGUUUGAUUCUGUUAUUCAUUUGAAUUAGUCUUAGUAAGUCUUGGAGGUUUUUUUCCUUGCUUUUAAAAUUGAUAAAAGAAGAUUUAUUUGUGAAAAGCAGAUGUUGGGAUUAAUUGUUCUAUUUAAUUAAUCAGAUAUUUAAGGUUUGGUAUAACCUAAUCUGCAAAGAAAAUAUUUUUAUCUGUUAAGUUUCCUGAUGUAAAAUACCUCUUGCAUUUUUGUUAACAGUUGUCAGAUAAAAGAGGGUAGUUUCUUACCCAUGACAUUUAUAAAAUACUAAUUCUGCCCUCUUAUUUUAUAUAAAAUUCAUUUAUAUUUACUUAGUACAGAGUUUGUAUUCAUUUAUAAUACUAAGUAGAAAUAAAUAAAACAGGUAAGGAACUUGUUAUUCUAUCAUUUAUUCUAUAAAUUACGUAGAAAUGGAUCAAACAAUUGAAAUGAAAAUAUUUACUGUUGAACAUACUUUUAUUUUUUUUGUUUAACUUAUAAACAACAUACUCAAAGAAAAGUAGAAAGGGGAAAGAGAACUGGAAGGGUAAUUGGAAGACAAAGUGAUUUCUUAGGUCAGAUUUUUGUUGUAUAUAUAAAAUGUAAAUUGAGAAAUGCAGGGGCUUAUAAUGGCUUGAAUUCCAGGAGUCUCUCCCUCUUUUUGCUGAGCCCUGUGUGUUUAAGGGACUUGCUGGCUUUUUGUGGUCUCUAGAAGUUGUUAAAUGAGUUAAAAAAACCUGUAAAAACCUUCCACCAAAUCAUCUUGCUUAUUUGCAAGGAUCAAGGAAGGAUUUUGUUUGUUUAUUUUUUUGAGAGAUGGAUUGAAAGAUUUUGAAAGGCAAUCAGAAGGGUUUGGAGUACUGAGGAGAUCCUUGAUAGCUGAUAGUUCAAGAAAAUGCUUCAUCAAACAGGGCUGGCAGGCAUCUCUUCACUCCUUUGAACCUUCAGUGUUGAUAAGGAGGUUUUAAAAGUUGUUAUUUGUAGGAAAAUUUGAUUUUCAUGUAUCUGAUUUAUAAGUAGGGGAUUUUCAGUAUGGGGCAUAUAAUAGUAAAUGACUAUGUCUUUAUUUGAACGAAGGACUAACAUCAAAUUCAUUACGAUCUGCCUCUCAGCAAUUUUGUUCACAAAUCCAAUGGAAAAAAAUAUUCUCUGGAGUCACUUAGAAAACUGUCAGUAGUAGAUUGCAUGUGUAUGUGUGAAACCAGCAGACUAUUCACUGGAACUUUGUAAUUAAUGAUCAAAUAUUUUGAAAGAUCUUGUUAGUAGCAAUCCAAGUAGAAAUGGAGAAAAAGACGAUGUGUCCGUAUUUCACCAGCAAGGCAGAUUGUGACUUUACAGAGCAUUAAGAUGUUUCAAGUUCUAAGUUUUUUCUUGGAUGAUGAAAAUGACUGAACCCUGGAAUACUUCACCAAAGGCUACUUUUAUCAAACAGAGAAGAAACAAGAGAAGGCUGACCUCUCUCUUUGCUUACAGAAAGUUUUAUAUUUUCUAGGAUUAUAUAUUUAGAACACCUUAUACAACAGGCCAGGUACUAACAUUAUGAAGUCACCAAGUGUACAUGUAUAGUGUUUCCAGACAACAGCAAGAGGUGGACUAGUUUUUUUGGAGACCAAAUCAGUAAUUGAAAACUGACCUUUCCCUCUCUCACUCCCUUUCCCUCCUAGACAAUGGCAGAGGGUCUGACGGUUGGAGGCAGAAACCCCCAAACAAACUGCUGUUAUCUGAUAGAAAUAACCAGAAAAGAUACAAUUUUGUCUGGUAACUUACAAACCUAACAUACUUCAGUCAUUUAGUCACUUACUUCUUCCAUCACACUCUUAUCUCUGUUUUAUUAUGCUUUGUCUUUUUCACAAGCCAUUCUGGGUCUAAGUCUGUAACAUAUUUCCCUUGGUUUAACAAGAUAAUUCUUUUUCUGCAAAUACCUGCAUAGGGCAUCUUGUCCUUCUAUGUGACAAUACUUACAAAAAAAAUUUUUUUUCCUUAGAAGACCAUGCUAAAUAGAUCCAUAAAAUUUAAGCUGAAGCCUUCUCAUCUACUUGCUGAAUGUACGUAUUUAAUCUACAAGACGAGCAGAACCUGGGAUGUGAAUAGCAAAGCAGAAUUUGACCUUCAUUUUUUUAGUUAUUACUGAACAUGUGUGAUGUGAGAACAUUGAGAUCCUCUGCCAUUCAUUAUAGCAAAUGUCAAGUGGGUGUUGUGUGGAACUGAGAGAGACCAAUCUUGAGAGAACAUCCGCCUUCAAUAAGUGGAACUCCAGAUUACACAAAGCUGCAGGCAUAAAAGCAGCUACGAAAGAAAGUUCACUCUGAAAAUGAAACAAUUUUCUCUAGAAAAAUGAACAUGAAAGUUAAACAGCUAUCCUCACCCUUGCCUGGAAGAUCUGAGAAAGAAGGUGGAGAGAAAAGUAUCCACUCUUUGGUCUCCGCAUGGGUGACAAUCACUGUAGGUGGGGGACCACUAUACCAACUAAUAGAAGUGCCUGAAAAUGUUCCCAGGCUCUGCUGCUGGGCCAGAAAAAAAAACAUGUUCCUGCUAAUAAAUUCCAUCAUUCUCUGUAACAAGAUGGCUGUGUGAAAAAGUGCCUGUUGGAAAUGAUCCUGGGAAUAUUUAUACUCCCAAGCUGGUUUGGGAUUUUUUUGUAUGAGUGCUGGAUGGCAUGUGUGCCAAAAGUGUGCCAGGAAAUAGUUUGACAAUUUAGGAAUUGCCUAGAUUAGGAAAAAGGCCCAAUAAGAACAGAUCCAUGGCAGAAAACAUCUGGUGUUGAGGAUCACAUCCACAUUGACAUUCAAAGUCUUUGUAUUUCAGAGAGUUUUACUGUUUCCUAGCUCUAGCCCACUCCCGCAGACAGAAUGUCCAUUAGCAGUCAAAGUGCAUUAGAUGCCCUCUGAGACUGCUCCUCCAGGUUUAUUUUUAUCUGAAAGGAAUUCAUUUUGCACAUUCCAAACAUGAUGUGAACCAAAGUGCAGGAAGUGAGAACUACUGGGAGAUUUGCUUCAGUAGUGCAUCCUGAUCUGAACUAUAAUGCUACCUCACAUACACUCAGAGGCAACUGCGUCUCUCUGUUUGAGAACAUUCCCAAUCACAGUUUAAUUCACCAGUUCAUCCAGUUCAAUUGUACAUAAAAAUUGUGUGAGGCUUUGGCAUGCUAAGUGGAAAUUGGAUUUAAAAUUUUAUUGCUAAAAUUGAGUAAAUCUCUACUGAAUGUUUGAACUGUCAUUCUUAGAGUGCCUAGAAUAAAUUUGGGAAAGUUUGCAAGUGGAUGCAAAAAACACAACUGUUAUAUAUAGACUGUGUACAUGAAGUGUUUUAACUGUGUCUCGCUAGUGUAUCUGAGAAAAGAGGAGGGAGAGAGAGAGAGUGUCUGAAUGUUAAAGGGAAAGAGAAAGGCCUAAAGAGUAUUUCUUCUUCUUAUAGAUUAGAAAAAUCUUCACAGUAAAUUUACAGCCAAAAUUUCCAGCCCUGACUAAAACAAGUGAUGUUUGGCAUGCUGUAUCUGCAGGUCAUGAGCUUUAAUUACAUCACAUUAUCUUUCACUGUAAGAUCUGGACUGCAGAUGCCUUUAGGUUGGAAUCCAAACUGAUAAGGAGCUUUUUAUCACUACACAGUACAUCAGACAUAGUUUGUAAGGAACAGAUAGUCAUCUGCUCUACCAACCUGCCUAUUCUAGUUGAAGUUGCCUCCAGGGAAUAGAUAGCAGAAACUUUACAUUUAGAACACUUAAAAAGAAAGAUUCCUGGAAAAUGUGAUGGCAUAAGUGGUAUUUAAAGAAAAGCUGUGUAAUAUAACACCUAAAUAAUUUUAUAGUCCUACUGCUAUUUUAGUAUGCUGGUAGGAUAUCUGAACCACUUGCUCUUGACUUGUACCUUGUUAGUAAUGAUGUUAUGCAUAAUGCAGCAAAGGAAUUCUUCAUUCCUGAGCAAGGGAACAGAAGUGAACAGAAGUGCCUUUUACAACUCAUCUCUUAUGGAUCAAAGGAAACGUCAAGCUUGCCUUAUCAUGUAAGCGAGUUUAGCGUCCUUGAGCUUACAUGAUAUGGGCUAAGUUACACAUAUUUAAGCCCAUAGUUUUUACUAUGUUUGCAUUAACUGAAAUUGUAUGUUUAUGGAUUGUACAGGCUUGAUUUCUGCUGGUAGUUAGAUGUUCAGUGUGUCUAUUAAAAUUACAUAUUUUCAGGACUUACUGUGAAAUAUAUGCAGAAAUUAUUAAAAAAUAUGAAGAUAUUUAUUUUGGGCUAAAAUAAUCUAAAAA